CAGUCGCCGCGGUAAUACGGAGGGUGCAAGCGUUAAUCGGAAUUACUGGGCGUAAAGCGCACGCAGGCGGUCUGACAAGUCAGAUGUGAAAUCCCCGGGCUUAACCUGGGAACUGCAUUUGAAACUGUCAGGCUGGAGUCUUGUAGAGGGGGGUGGAAUUCCAGGUGUAGCGGUGAAAUGCGUAGAGAUCUGGAGGAAUACCGGUGGCGAAGGCGGCCCCCUGGACAAAGACUGACGCUCAGGUGCGAAAGCGUGGGGAGCAAACAGGAUUAGAUACCCCUGUAGUCUCUGUCUCUUAUAC
Molecule: ribosomal RNA, 301 nt
Filed under: uncultured bacterium
Lineage: Bacteria
Description: partial 16S ribosomal RNA
Rfam family: Bacterial small subunit ribosomal RNA
Source: RNAcentral